This 447-nucleotide ribosomal RNA is filed under the name uncultured bacterium. RNAcentral describes it as "bacterial SSU rRNA". It matches the Rfam family "Bacterial small subunit ribosomal RNA", at positions 355 to 825 of the family's 1533-position model. The record is from RNAcentral.
CGGGGAAUAUUGGACAAUGGGCGAAAGCCUGAUCCAGCAAUGCCGCGUGAGUGAUGAAGGCCUUAGGGUUGUAAAGCUCUUUUACCAGGGAUGAUAAUGACAGUACCUGGAGAAUAAGCUCCGGCUAACUCCGUGCCAGCAGCCGCGGUAAUACGGAGGGAGCUAGCGUUGUUCGGAAUUACUGGGCGUAAAGCGUGCGUAGGCGGCCAUUCAAGUCAGAGGUGAAAGCCUGGAGCUCAACUCCAGAACUGCCUUUGAAACUAGAUGGCUAGAAUCUUGGAGAGGUGAGUGGAAUUCCGAGUGUAGAGGUGAAAUUCGUAGAUAUUCGGAAGAACACCAGUGGCGAAGGCGACUCACUGGACAAGUAUUGACGCUGAGGUACGAAAGCGUGGGGAGCAAACAGGAUUAGAUACCCAUGUAGUCCCUGAGCGGGCUGGCAAGGCGCAU